RNAcentral lists this ribosomal RNA (642 nucleotides) under Sebacina sp. AA3.9. RNAcentral's name for it is "eukaryotic LSU rRNA". The stretch from base 233 to 386 matches the Rfam family "5.8S ribosomal RNA". Lineage: Eukaryota; Fungi; Basidiomycota; Agaricomycetes; Sebacinales; Sebacinaceae. The record is from RNAcentral.
UCUUGGUCAUUUAGAGGAAGUAAAAGUCGUAACAAGGUUUCCGUAGGUGAACCUGCGGAAGGAUCAUUAACGAGUUCAAAAGUCGGUCGACCGUGCUGGCGGAGACGCAUGUGCACGUCGGUCGCGAACCAUCCACACACCGUGAACCUAUGGCCCGGGGUUUGAGUUCAGACCCUGGGCACCAUUUUUACACUCUGUUUGUAAAGGAAUGUCUUAUAUUAUAUAAACAUACAACUUUCAACAACGGAUCUCUUGGCUCUCGCAUCGAUGAAGAACGCAGCGAAAUGCGAUAAGUAAUGUGAAUUGCAGAAUUCAGUGAAUCAUCGAAUCUUUGAACGCACCUUGCACCCUUUGGUAUUCCGAAGGGUACGCCCGUUUGAGUGUCAUUGUAAUCUCACCCCGAAAUCUUUUUUUGGAGUGGACUUGGACGCUGCCGUGUUGCAUGGCUCGUCUCGAACGUCUUAGUAUGCCCUGCCCGUCGGUGUAGACAGCGUGAUAAGUAUCUUCGCUGGUCAAGCCUCUCCGGAGGCGCACCUCGAGCAUGGAAGCCUGCUGCCAACCGUCUUUUGACAACCUUUGACAAUUUGACCUCAGAUCGGGUGGGACUACCCGCUGAACUUAAGCAUAUCAAUAAGCGGAGGA